AUAUCAAUAAGCGGAGGAAAAGAAACCAACAGGGAUUGCCUCAGUAACGGCGAGUGAAGCGGCAACAGCUCAAAUUUGAAAUCUGGCCUUUUGGUCCGAGUUGUAAUUUGUAGAGGAUGUUUCGAGCGUGGUCCGGUCUAAGUUCCUUGGAACAGGACGUCAUAGAGGGUGAGAAUCCCGUAUGCGACUGGGUGCCUAAGUUCAUGUGAAACUCCUUCGACGAGUCGAGUUGUUUGGGAAUGCAGCUCAAAAUGGGUGGUAAAUUUCAUCUAAAGCUAAAUAUUGGCCAGAGACCGAUAGCGCACAAGUAGAGUGAUCGAAAGAUGAAAAGCACUUUGGAAAGAGAGUUAAACAGUAC
RNAcentral lists this ribosomal RNA (358 nucleotides) under uncultured fungus. RNAcentral's name for it is "eukaryotic LSU rRNA". It matches the Rfam family "Eukaryotic large subunit ribosomal RNA", at positions 40 to 398 of the family's 3401-position model. The record is from RNAcentral. Lineage: Eukaryota; Fungi.